RNAcentral lists this unclassified non-coding RNA (258 nucleotides) under uncultured Hypocreales. RNAcentral's name for it is "sequence contains 5.8S rRNA gene, ITS2, 28S rRNA gene". The stretch from base 1 to 52 matches the Rfam family "5.8S ribosomal RNA", at positions 103 to 154 of the family's 154-position model. Lineage: Eukaryota; Fungi; Ascomycota; Sordariomycetes; Hypocreales. The record is from RNAcentral.
AACGCACAUUGCGCCCGCCAGUAUUCUGGCGGGCAUGCCUGUUCGAGCGUCAUUUCAACCCUCAAGCUCUGCUUGGUGUUGGGGAUCGGCAAGGCGUCCUCCGGGUCGCGCCGUCCCCCAAAUAUAGUGGCGGUCUCGCUGUAGCUUCCUCUGCGUAGUAAUACACCUCGCUCUGGAGUCUCGGUGCGACCACGCCGUAAAACCCCCAACUUUUUUCUGGUUGACCUCGAAUCAGGUAGGACUACCCGCUGAACUUAA